Molecule: transfer RNA, 76 nt
Rfam family: tRNA
About the family: Transfer RNA (tRNA) molecules are approximately 80 nucleotides in length. Their secondary structure includes four short double-helical elements and three loops (D, anti-codon, and T loops).
GGAUGCUUAGCUCAGCUGGGAGAGCAUCGCCCUUACAAGGCGGGGGUCACUGGUUCGAUCCCAGUAGCAUCCACCA